UCCGAUUUAGUCACACAGCGAGAGAAAUAAUGGAGAAAUUCAUAAUUUUACUUUUCCUUGCAGCAUUAAGUAUAAGUCAAGCCCAACGUUGUGGAAGAAAAAAAACAUUUGACCACACUUCUAAUGCAGAUUGGAACAGAAGGAUGUAUGCUUAUCCUGGUCCUGUCCGUUAUGAUCCGUUCGUAAAUAGAAUGUCCGUGUUAAGAAACCAAGCAAAUUUACCAAGAGACCAAGCAUAUUCGCCAAGAGACCAAGCAUAUUCGCCAAGAGACCAAUCAUAUUCGCCAAGAGACGAAUCAUAUCCGCCAAGAGACCAAUCAUAUUCUCCAAGAGACCAAUCCUAUUUACCAAGAGGAGGAGGAAACAUAAAACUGGGAAAAUAGAAAUAACUUCUGUGACAACAACUGUUCUUAACGAACAUUAGAAAGAAAUCAUACAUAAAUUACCUUGUGAAGACGAAGAACGA
This is a long non-coding RNA of Centruroides sculpturatus (bark scorpion), 466 nucleotides long. RefSeq lists it as uncharacterized. Lineage: Eukaryota; Metazoa; Arthropoda; Arachnida; Scorpiones; Buthidae. The record is from RefSeq and is a predicted model, not a curated record. The transcript has 2 exons.